Molecule: ribosomal RNA, 428 nt
Filed under: uncultured bacterium
Lineage: Bacteria
Description: bacterial SSU rRNA
Rfam family: Bacterial small subunit ribosomal RNA
Source: RNAcentral
GGGCCCGCACAAGCGGUGGAUUAUGUGGUUUAAUUCGAAGCAACGCGCAGAACCUUACCCGGGCUUGAAAUCCUGAGAAUUUGGCUUAAAGGCCGAAGUGCCCUUCGGGGAAUUCAGUGACAGGCGCUGCAUGGCUGUCGUCAGCUCGUGUCGUGAGAUGUUGGGUUAAGUCUCGCAACGAGCGCAACCCCUAUCCUUAGUUGCCAGCAUUAAGUUGGGCACUCUAGGGAGACUGCCUGGGUUAACCAGGAGGAAGGUGGGGAUGACGUCAAGUCCUCAUGGCCCUUAUGUCCGGGGCUACACACGUAAUACAAUGGUGCAUACAAAGGGAAGCGACCCUGCGAAGGUGAGCAAAUCUCAAAAAGUGCAUCUCAGUCCGGAUUGGAGUCUGCAACUCGACUCCAUGAAGUUGGAAUCGCUAGUAAUCG